Cherax quadricarinatus is the source of this 1292-nucleotide non-coding RNA. The record is from RefSeq and is a predicted model, not a curated record. NCBI's taxonomy places the organism in Eukaryota, Metazoa, Arthropoda, Malacostraca, Decapoda, Parastacidae.
UGAGUCAUGUUAACUUACAGCAUUUACAACCCAUGCUUCAUACCUAUAUAAGAGCGUUGGUACCACUAUGCACAUUCCCUUUGCCUCCAUGGGAAGAGGUAAAGGAUUAAAAUAUAUAGAAUCUAAUACAUAAUGGGAGUUGUCACAUUUGCUUUUUGCCAUUGAUGCUGUGCUUUUGAAAGAUUCUGAAGAGAAUUCACAAAGGUAUGUUAAGGAUAUGUAAAAGAAGGAAAUUAAAAAUGAACACAGGAAAGUGCAAGGUUAUAAGGGUAACAAAAAAUUUAGUUAAUAAAAGAUUGGGUAUUAGAUUGGAUAGAGGGAGUAUAGAGGAAGUAAAUGUGUUCAGAUAUUUGUGAGUGGGCUUGUCAGCAGAUGGGUCUAUGAGAGAUGAGGUGAAUCAUAGAACUGAUGAAGAGAAAAAGGUGAGUGGUGCACUGAGGAAUCUGUGGAGACAAAGAACAUUAUCCAUAGAAGUAAAAAGGGGAAUGUAUGAGAGUAUAAUGGUACCAACACUUAUAUGUGGGUUUGAAGCAUGAGUUGUAAAUGUUGUAGUGCGGAGGAGAUCGGAGGCAGUGAAAAUGUCAUAUCUGAAGGCAAUGUGUGGUGUAAAUAUUAAGCAGAGAAUUCAUAGUCUGGAGAUUAGGAGGAGGUGUAGAAUUACUAGAAGUAUUAUCCAGAGGGCUGAGGAAGGGUUGUUGAAGUGGUUUGGAUAUUUAGAGAGGAUGGAGCAAAACAGGAUGACUUGCAAAUUGUAUAAAUCUGUAGUGUAGGGAAGCCAGGGUAGGAGUCACCCUAGGAAAGGUUGGCGGGAUGGGGUAAAGGAGGUUUUAUAUGCAAGGGGUUUGAACAUCCAGCAGAUAUGUGUGAGCAUGUUAGAUAGAAGUAAAUGGAGGCAAGUAAGUUCUAUGACUUGACAUGCUGUUAGAGUGUGAGCAUGGUAACAUUUAUGAAGGGAUUCAAGAAAACUGGUUAGCCAGACUCAAGUCCUGGAGUUGGAAAGUACAAUGCCUACAUUCUGAAGGAGGGGUGGAGAUAUCUGCAGGUUGGAGGGGCAUCUAAACUGUAGUUUUGGCACACCUCUGGCAAGACAGUGAUGGAGUGAGUAAUGGUGAAAGUGUUUCUUCUUUUUCAGGUCAUCCUACCUCAGUGGGAGACGACCAGUAUGUUGAAAAAAGAAACAUUUGGAAUGUGGAGACUUUAUGCUGCUUGUUCAACUGAUAAUUCUCAAGCAGUUGUCUCUUACUGGCACUGAUAAGCAAUAGGGGUGGGAAUUCGAGUUGUUUCAUAAGGCA